GGGAUCAGCACUGGACAUAGCACAGCAUGGAGAUGGUGUCCCCAACUCAGUUCUUCUGUUUCCUCCUGCUUGGACUUCAAAAUGCCAAUGGACAGAUUGUGAUGACCCAAUCUCCAGCUUCCCUGUCUGUGACUCCAGGAGACACAGUCACCAUCUCCUGCAGGGCUAGUCAAGACAUUAGCAAGUAUUUACAAUGGCACCAACAGAAACAUGGUCAGUCUCCAAAGUUACUCAUCUAUUAUACAUCCAACCGGUACUCUGGGAUCCCAUCCCGGUUCAGUGGCAGUGGAUCCGGAACAGAUUACACUCUCACCAUCAGCAGUGUGGAGGCUGAAGAUUUUGGAGUUUAUUACUGUAUGCAGUAUAAAAGUUGGCCUCUCACAGUGCUCCAGCCCUGA
Non-coding RNA from Trichosurus vulpecula (common brushtail), 398 nucleotides. NCBI's taxonomy places the organism in Eukaryota, Metazoa, Chordata, Mammalia, Diprotodontia, Phalangeridae. The record is from the annotation of a RefSeq genome assembly.